This 253-nucleotide ribosomal RNA is filed under the name uncultured bacterium. RNAcentral describes it as "partial 16S ribosomal RNA". It matches the Rfam family "Bacterial small subunit ribosomal RNA", at positions 524 to 776 of the family's 1533-position model. The record is from RNAcentral.
CACGUAGGGCGCGAGCGUUGUCCGGAAUUAUUGGGCGUAAAGAGCGUGUAGGCGGCCUGACCAGUCCGCUGUGAAAGUCCAGGGCUCAACCCUGGAAUGCCGGUGGAUACUGUCGGGCUAGAGUCCGGAAGGGGCGAGUGGAAUUCCUGGUGUAGCGGUGAAAUGCGCAGAUAUCAGGAGGAACACCGGUGGUGUAGACGGCUUUCUGGACCGUAACUGACGCUGAGACACGAAAGCGUGGGUAGCAAACAGG